CUCCUUGAGAGUCCUGAAGGAACGUUGAAGACGACGACGUUGAUAGGCCGGGUGUGUAAGCGCAGCGAUGCGUUGAGCUAACCGGUACUAAUGAACCGUGAGGCUUAACCUUACAACGCCGAAGGUGUUU
Molecule: ribosomal RNA, 130 nt
Filed under: Escherichia coli
Lineage: Bacteria; Pseudomonadati; Pseudomonadota; Gammaproteobacteria; Enterobacterales; Enterobacteriaceae
Also listed under: 1 other name
Description: partial 23S ribosomal RNA
Rfam family: Bacterial large subunit ribosomal RNA (bases 1-112)
Source: RNAcentral